Molecule: long non-coding RNA, 302 nt
Organism: Herpailurus yagouaroundi (jaguarundi)
Lineage: Eukaryota; Metazoa; Chordata; Mammalia; Carnivora; Felidae
Exons: 3
Source: RefSeq, a predicted model, not a curated record
AGGAUGACCUGGACCGGUCUCGCGCUCUCCGGUGCUUCCUACGAAAACAGAAGAGCCAGGGAUUUAAAUCACCAAGCUCCAGGGUACAGCCCUUGGCUGGGGACUCACUGGAAGAACACUACUGGCCUAAUUUAGGCCUGUUCUAGAGACUGAACAAACAAUAUGCUUCAACACUUCACAAUGACAUAGCAGAGCCAAACUAAACACCCAUCUCCCAGGAGGCCUUCUCUGGACAAGGAUCAUACCCCUACUUUGAUGCAGAAGUUGUUUUCAAGCCAGGGACCUUACUUGACAGUUACAGG